RNAcentral lists this ribosomal RNA (430 nucleotides) under uncultured bacterium. RNAcentral's name for it is "bacterial SSU rRNA". It matches the Rfam family "Bacterial small subunit ribosomal RNA", at positions 354 to 796 of the family's 1533-position model. The record is from RNAcentral.
GUGGGGAAUAUUGCACAAUGGGCGAAAGCCUGAUGCAGCAACGCCGCGUGAGGGAUGACGGCCUUCGGGUUGUAAACCUCUUUUAGCAGGGAAGAAGCGAGAGUGACGGUACCUGCAGAAAAAGCGCCGGCUAACUACGUGCCAGCAGCCGCGGUAAUACGUAGGGCGCGAGCGUUGUCCGGAAUUAUUGGGCGUAAAGAGCUCGUAGGCGGUUUGUCGCGUCUGCUGUGAAAUCCCGAGGCUCAACCUCGGGCUUGCAGUGGGUACGGGCAGACUAGAGUGCGGUAGGGGAGACUGGAACUCCUGGUGUAGCGGUGGAAUGCGCAGAUAUCAGGAAGAACACCGAUGGCGAAGGCAGGUCUCUGGGCCGUUACUGACGCUGAGGAGCGAAAGCAUGGGGAGCGAACAGGAUUAGAUACCCUGGUAGUCC